Molecule: RNA transcript, 2219 nt
Organism: Bombus huntii
Lineage: Eukaryota; Metazoa; Arthropoda; Insecta; Hymenoptera; Apidae
Exons: 6
Source: RefSeq, a predicted model, not a curated record
GACACCGUGGAAUGCGUGCGUUUUAGCCUUAAUUAUUCGUAAGAUAAAUUAGUCUAUGUUAAGAGCAUUGUGAGCUCAUCGUGUACAAUGAUACUUAUCCAUCUUGCAAGGAAAAUUAAAAUUCUAUUCUCUUUUUCUGCCGAAACACGCGUCCAUUGAUUCUUCCGAAAGGUCGCAAACUCGUUCGUUCGUGCCGUGAUUUUUAUUUGAUUUUCCGAUUGAUUGCAGUUUCUCUUUGGCUUCUCCCUACUUUUAGGGGCACAUACAGCGUCAGUAGCUUCAUUUUCUUUCUCUCAUCCCAGGUUAGACAAAUGUGUCUUUGAUGCCGAAUGCAAACCAGUGGGGCUACGAAUUAUCGUACGAUGUUUAUAAAGAUCGAUGUAAUCAUUGUGUGAGAUAUAGAUAUUGCGCGAUGUAUCCUUUGUUUGAAAUUUGGAAAGAUUCGUGUAAGAUCGUUUUGUGUAGAUCGUUUGACUUUCCGUAUCUGCUUGUAUCUCCGUCAUCCUUCCCACCACGCCACUUUGGAAGCUGCUCAGCGAAACUAAGGCGCGACUAGUCCAUUCAGUCGUCUUCUUUUCUAUCGAUAACAUGGAUCACGUUGCGUCAGGUUAUCGAUCGAUGGCAGGGAUAAUAUAGAAGUAACAGGAAUAUUAAUAUAUGGACGCAACGACGAUCAACGAUCAGUCUGAUGAAUUUUCAUGGAAAUCUGACAUAUCACAGCUUCAACUUUUCCGUCUUCUUUGGGAAUGUUCUAACAGUGGCUCAGAAGCCAAGAACCUUUUCAAAUAAUCAGCAGUCAUUCAUCGUGUUUUGUUCUGCUGGGAUAGCGCGGCAGUUCGAUGGCGUAACGCUUCUGUUCCUCUGUUCCUCCUAACGCGUUGAAAACUUAUGUGGGUGAAACGCUAGAAUUGACUGGAGUUCUUCGACAAGAAAUGGGCACUUGUCUUUGCAUAGACAGCAACAAUGUGCCUCCGACAGUCAGCAAACGUUACUCUGUACAAGUUCACUGUAAACAAAAUAAAAACCUGCCAAGCACUGUGGCGGCACGGGCCACGGAACUUUUCAACGGCUCCGGAUGCAAAGCGCGACGCCGCCAAAGCGCAACACCGACGUGCCCAAUGUACCAUCGAUAUCUUCACACUCUUUCCGCCGAAUUCUCGGAAGAGCAUACACGUGCCAGCACUGGCGGCACAUCUAAUGAAUGCACGCUAGUGGGGGAUAUCGAUGGGCUACGAAGGGAAGAAUCUGCGCGAUCCGAAACAAAAGCACAGGCAGUCUGUCUUACGCCAUUAAAUGUGUAACUCCUCGGUACUAUUUGCAUAGCAACGCGUCGAAUGAUCUCUCGGUGUCUAUCGUUAUUUGUUAGUUGUUACCAGUUGUCUGUUAAGUGUAAUUGUUAAUUGUUAAUUGUUAACUCUGAUUGUUGAUUAGUUCUAAAUAAACUAUUGUUCGUUAAAAACACCAAGAGUAGUUCCUUACGCACCUAUCACCAUACCACCUCAGCACGAACGCCGUAUAGAUUGUUUUCACCUGUUCGAUUCGUGCUAGAUUUGACUAAAAUACUCAUGCGAAGUUAUUGAAAAUAUAAAAUCCGAAUUAACAUCCAGUUUUCAACAACCUGUCUAAAGAUACCGCUCACAAACAAGCUAUCAUUUCUUGAAACAAAUAUAUAAGAUUUAUUUACGUUAUCAAUUUUGUCGUGUGUCGAAAUACAGCCCACUCAAAACAUUCUAUGGACCAAACGAAAAAAUUGUUGACAUUGAUUGUCAACAAGUCCUACAAACUAGGAUCUUUCAUAUUUCUUUCGCUUUUGAUAAUUAGACACAACCUCCCGCUAGCCGAUGAGUCAUUCUGCUAUAUUUGGCUUAUCCUUUGUUAUUAUACAAAUUACUGCCAUUGUUCACGGCUGAUCUACUAAUUCGUUUGGUGACUAGACACUACGUUAGAUAUUUUAAUCAAAUAAACUCAUAAUUGUAUCGAUAAAAUACUUCCUAUCAGUACAAUAUAUGAUCUAAAAUUUAAACAUCCUGCUUCAGGGCGACAUAUCCAGUGAAUUAACGGCGCCUGAACAAUCCCUUAAAACGGGUAAAUCUAUAACUUUAUUAUCUAAUUUCAACCUAAUAUCCACAAACUGAUCAACAUAAUUUCACUAUGCCCAAAAAGAAUCGCCUUGCAAAUGAUAUCGAUAUUUACGACAUUUCUUUGCUAUAUUAAUAUAG